This 240-nucleotide unclassified non-coding RNA is filed under the name soil metagenome. RNAcentral describes it as "partial contains 5.8S ribosomal RNA, internal transcribed spacer 2, and large subunit ribosomal RNA". The record is from RNAcentral.
AACGGUCUAUACCUGCGGUACCUGCGGAAGGAUCAUUACAGAGAACUUGCCCUUCGGGGUAUAUCUCCCACCCUUUGUUUACAAUACCAUGUUGCUUUGGCAGGCCCGUCUUCUAGACCACUGGCCUUGGCUGGUCCGUGCCUGCCAGAGGAUAAAAAACCCCAUAUUUUUGUGUUUCUGAGCUCUAAGUAUCGAUAGUUAAAACUUUCAGCAACGGAUCUCUAGAUCGGAAGAGCACAC